Molecule: long non-coding RNA, 1808 nt
Organism: Panicum virgatum (switchgrass)
Lineage: Eukaryota; Viridiplantae; Streptophyta; Magnoliopsida; Poales; Poaceae
Exons: 4
Source: RefSeq, a predicted model, not a curated record
CUCUGCUGACCUCCCGGAGGCGGCGACGGCCUGCCCUCGCCCCGCGCCGCCGCUCCUGCCGCGCCCACCUUCCUUGCUCUCUUUCCUACACAUCCCACGGCCGACGGCCCUCCACCCGGUGCUUUCCUCCUACGCGUGCGGCUCCGGACCAGGCCUGCCCCCGAAGCCGGCGAACGCGCCCUCCCCCCGAAGUCGGCUGCUCCCGAGGCGUCCUCCUCUCCAAGCCGGCCUGUCCCGACGAGGACUCCUCCCGCGCCCUCCUGCCAGGCCGCUCCGCUUCCUCCCGCGAGCAGAAACCUCUCCCGCGCCUGCUCCUGGAUCCCCACAGCGGGUAAUCACAGAGACCUCGGCACAUCCCUCUUCAAGGUACUAGCGACAAUGGACGGAGAAGGAUACUGGACAAACUUGUUGAAUAGUGACAACAAUAACCUGAGUAUGGAUGGUUUUAGUAUCCUGCCUGAGGAGCAGCAAUCGCCUGCUAUACCAGGUGAGGCGGAUCAACAAUUGGCCGUUGCUGGGAGUACACCCUCAGCAAGACCAAACCAAAAAAGAUCAAAAAAUUUUAAUGAGAAAGAGGACAAACUUCUUGUCUCAGCAUGGCUGAACAUCAGUACAGACCCAGUGCUAGGCACUAAUCAAAAUCGUGGUACAUUUUGGAGUAGAGUUCAUGAGUACUACCACUCAAACAAGGAGUUCGAAUCAGAUCGCAGCGAGAGUUCACUUUCACACUGAUGGAAAUGUAUUCUUCAGAGUGUCAACAAGUUCUGUUCGUGCAUAACUCAUAUUGAGGGUAGAAAUCAGAGUGGGGUUACUUUUCAAGACAAGCUUAUGCAGGCACUGGCUUUAUUUAAGUUUCAAGACAGUGAGAACAAGCCAUUUCAAUACUUGCAUUGCUGGAAUAUCUUGCGGACUCAACCAAAGUGGCAUGAUAAGCGGAAGCAAUUGGCAGCUGACAAGCAACCCGGUAACAAGAAACAAAAGGCCAACACGGAUUCAAGUCAGAGAACAUCCAUACCGAUCAAUGUACAUACUAGCAACACUAUCACGGAGAAUGGACCUCCUGAAGAGACCGAGGUUUGCAAGAGACCGAUGGGUAAGAAGGCCAAAGAAGCAUUGCGGCGAGGUGGAGGUGAUGCUUGUGUGGAGGCCUUAGACCAUUUAUGGGAAAAAAGAGAGAAUCUGAUGUAGAAAAAGAAAAAAAGAAAGAGGAGAGAUACAACCAGUUAUAUGCACUAGAGAAAGAGAGAUGCAACCAGUCAUACUCACUAGAGAAAGAGAGGCUUGAACUAGAAAAAAGAAGGGUUGAAGCUGAAGAAUCAAGGGCUGUAAAUGAGGCAAAAAAUCUAGAGAUAAAGGCACGUGAAUUACCGCACACUAGAAUGUUAGAUGAGGAGAGAAUUAUGACGAAGGACACUACUGCGCUACCUCUUCCACAACAGCAAUAUUACAAGGUCCUGCAAGAUGAGAUCCUUGCUCGUCGUGUUCCAAACUAGCUCUGAUGGACAGCAUAUGGAGAAGUUGUGGAGUGGCACUCUAUUGCUAGAGAUGCAAGCGCCCAAGUUGAAGUCUUUUAGAUUUACCAUUUAAUUUUCUUACUCUGUUUUGAUGUCAUGUGGAUUUGACCAUCAGUUUGUCUCCAUUUAUUUAGCUGGUACUAAUCUUCUUACCUUGUGUGCUUGGACGUAUUUGUUAUCUUAUUUUCAGUCCAGUAGAAGUUACUUAGAUUGACCAUUUUAAUUUGAUUAUUAUAUUUAGAUGUCAUGUGGACAAGACACUCUUUAAACCUUGCUUGUUUUUAAACCUUGAUU